RNAcentral lists this ribosomal RNA (598 nucleotides) under uncultured Colletotrichum. Its description in RNAcentral is "eukaryotic LSU rRNA". The stretch from base 227 to 380 matches the Rfam family "5.8S ribosomal RNA". The record is from RNAcentral. Lineage: Eukaryota; Fungi; Ascomycota; Sordariomycetes; Glomerellales; Plectosphaerellaceae.
GGAAGUAAAAAUCGUAACAAGGUCUCCGUUGGUGAACCAGCGGAGGGAUCAUUACUGAGUUUACGCUCUAUAACCCUUUGUGAACAUACCUAUAACUGUUGCUUCGGCGGGUAGGGUCUCCGUGACCCUCCCGGCCUCCCGCCCCCGAUCGGGUCGGCGCCCGCCGGAGGAUAACCAAACUCUGAUUUAACGACGUUUCUUCUGAGUGGUACAAGCAAAUAAUCAAAACUUUUAACAACGGAUCUCUUGGUUCUGGCAUCGAUGAAGAACGCAGCGAAAUGCGAUAAGUAAUGUGAAUUGCAGAAUUCAGUGAAUCAUCGAAUCUUUGAACGCACAUUGCGCCCGCCAGCAUUCUGGCGGGCAUGCCUGUUCGAGCGUCAUUUCAACCCUCAAGCUCUGCUUGGUGUUGGGGCCCUACAGCUGAUGUAGGCCCUCAAAGGUAGUGGCGGACCCUCCCGGAGCCUCCUUUGCGUAGUAACUUUACGUCUCGCACUGGGAUCCGGAGGGACUCUUGCCGUAAAACCCCCAAUUUUCCAAAGGUUGACCUCGGAUCAGGUAGGAAUACCCGCUGAACUUAAGCAUAUCAAUAAGCCGGAGG